AAGUUAGACAUAAUUAGGGUGACUUCAAGUGACAGGUGGGUGUUCUCACAGGUGGCUAGCCACAGCAGACAGCAGUCAUUUGGCCCACCUGAACUCCACCUCUUUGCCCAUUUUUGGAUUUGCCAGAGUCAGGCACUGCCACGGACGGAGCCCCCAGGAGCCGCCCACGGUAUGCAUGAGGCCUUUCACUGAACGCGUCUUGCGACAUGUGCAGGGAGGAAACAGCUGUGGUUUGGUUGCUGCAGAAACCAGGUGAGAGCGUGUGCCCUGGCGAUGACAUCACACAUUCCAUGACGUCGAUGUGGCAGAGAGGCGUGAGGGGGCGAGCUCAGAUGCCACGGUUUUGUGUUAAAAUCGAUCGUCUCCAAGCCACAAAGGACCUGUGAGGGAAAACAUAUAAAGGAAAACCCUGCUGUUCCUAAUAUUGUCUGUUUGCUCCUUACUGCCUGACAACAUCACACAUACAAAAUAAUCCUGCAUCUGCUUGUUCGAGUGCUUUCACAAUUAUAUUUAGUGGAAUACAAAAAUUCA
Micropterus salmoides (largemouth bass) is the source of this 531-nucleotide long non-coding RNA. RefSeq lists it as uncharacterized. The record is from RefSeq and is a predicted model, not a curated record. The transcript has 2 exons. NCBI's taxonomy places the organism in Eukaryota, Metazoa, Chordata, Actinopteri, Centrarchiformes, Centrarchidae.